CUCCCAAACCCCUGUGAACAUACCAAUUGUUGCCUCGGCGGAUCAGCCCGCUCCCGGUAAAACGGGACGGCCCGCCAGAGGACCCCUAAACUCUGUUUCUAUAUGUAACUUCUGAGUAAAACCAUAAAUAAAUCAAAACUUUCAACAACGGAUCUCUUGGUUCUGGCAUCGAUGAAGAACGCAGCAAAAUGCGAUAAGUAAUGUGAAUUGCAGAAUUCAGUGAAUCAUCGAAUCUUUGAACGCACAUUGCGCCCGCCAGUAUUCUGGCGGGCAUGCCUGUUCGAGCGUCAUUUCAACCCUCAAGCCCAGCUUGGUGUUGGGACUCGCGAGUCAAAUCGCGUUCCCCAAAUUGAUUGGCGGUCACGUCGAGCUUCCAUAGCGUAGUAGUAAAACCCUCGUUACUGGUAAUCGUCGCGGCCACGCCGUUAAACCCCAACUUCUGAAUGUUGACCUCGGAUCAGGUAGGAAUACCCGCUGAACUUAAGCAUAUCAAUAAGCGGAGGAAAAGAAACCAACAGGGAUUGCCCUAGUAACGGCGAGUGAAGCGGCAACAGCUCAAAUUUGAAAUCUGGCUCUCGGGCCCGAGUUGUAAUUUGUAGAGGAUACUUUUGAUGCGGUGCCUUCCGAGUUCCCUGGAACGGGACGCCAUAGAGGGUGAGAGCCCCGUCUGGUUGGAUGCCAAAUCUCUGUAAAGUUCCUUCGACGAGUCGAGUAGUUUGGGAAUGCUGCUCUAAAUGGGAGGUAUAUGUCUUCUAAAGCUAAAUACCGGCCAGAGACCGAUAGCGCACAAGUAGAGUGAUCGAAAGAUGAAAAGCACUUUGAAAAGAGAGUUAAAAAGUACGUGAAAUUGUUGAAAGGGAAGCGUUUAUGACCAGACUUGGGCUUGGUUGAUCAUCUGGGGUUCUCCCCAGUGCACUCUUCCAGUCCAGGCCAGCAUCAGUUUUCGCCGGGGGAUAAAGACUUCGGGAAUGUGGCUCUCUUCGGGGAGUGUUAUAGCCCGUUGUGUAAUACCCUGGCGGGGACUGAGGUUCGC
This 1033-nucleotide ribosomal RNA is filed under the name fungal endophyte. RNAcentral describes it as "eukaryotic LSU rRNA". The stretch from base 448 to 1033 matches the Rfam family "Eukaryotic large subunit ribosomal RNA", at positions 1 to 598 of the family's 3401-position model. Lineage: Eukaryota; Fungi. The record is from RNAcentral.